This 465-nucleotide ribosomal RNA is filed under the name Vreelandella stevensii. RNAcentral's name for it is "partial 16S ribosomal RNA". It matches the Rfam family "Bacterial small subunit ribosomal RNA", at positions 338 to 795 of the family's 1533-position model. The record is from RNAcentral. Lineage: Bacteria; Pseudomonadati; Pseudomonadota; Gammaproteobacteria; Oceanospirillales; Halomonadaceae.
CCUACGGGGGGCAGCAGGGGGGAAUAUUGGACAAUGGGGGGAACCCUGAUCCAGCCAUGCCGGGUGUGUGAAGAAGGCCCUCGGGUUGUAAAGCACUUUCAGUGAGGAAGAACGCCUGGUGGUUAAUACCCAUCAGGAAAGACAUCACUCACAGAAGAAGCACCGGCUAACUCCGUGCCAGCAGCCGCGGUAAUACGGAGGGUGCGAGCGUUAAUCGGAAUUACUGGGCGUAAAGCGCGCGUAGGUGGCUUGAUAAACCGGUUGUGAAAGCCCCGGGCUCAACCUGGGAACGGCAUCCGGAACUGUCAAGCUAGAGUGCAGGAGAGGAAGGUAGAAUUCCCGGUGUAGCGGUGAAAUGCGUAGAGAUCGGGAGGAAUACCAGUGGCGAAGGCGGCCUUCUGGACUGACACUGACACUGAGGUGCGAAAGCGUGGGUAGCAAACAGGAUUAGAUACCCUGGUAGUC